UAGAUACUCCCUUCAUCCCAAAAUUCUCAUCUUAGAUUUGUCUAGAUAUGAAUGUAUCUAGUCAUGUAUUUCUUUGUUUAGAUAUUUAGAUACAUUCAUUUCUAGAAAAAUCUAAGACACGAAUUUUGGGACGGAGGGAGUACACA
RNAcentral lists this microRNA precursor (146 nucleotides) under Hordeum vulgare. RNAcentral describes it as "microRNA MIR1122". It matches the Rfam family "MIR1120/MIR1122 microRNA precursor family". The record is from RNAcentral. Lineage: Eukaryota; Viridiplantae; Streptophyta; Magnoliopsida; Poales; Poaceae.